UCCACUCUAACGGAUCCCCCUUUCUACAUUAUUCUCCGUGCACAUAAUUUUUUUUCUGUCACUGGGGGCCCACUUUCCCCGCCCACUCCCCUAAUUUUAGCUUGAAACUAGAAUAGCGGAGCCAAGAAAUAGUUAAUCCAGGGCUGCUUCUAUGAUUGGCCGCUGUACACAGCGCUUGAGCCACCUUGAAUGAGAGACAGGGGUAACUAGGCAACUUCAACGGCGAAGCGAAAACAGAUCGCGCAAAUGAACCGGAACCUGAUUUGGAUUAAAACGGUUAAACUGGAAAUUUCAGCGUAGCUGUCAUAUGAAAGGUGCUAAUGGAGGGAGGGACAGAGGUGUACAACAGAAGGACAGUCUCUGAAGUGUCCUACCAAAGAGGAAUACCAGUACUCAACCUGGACUAAAGAAUAAUACAGUACAACAACAACCCAUGUGUUCUCUUUGGAAGGAGGAAUUCACCAAUCACUAAAUGGGAUCUGCACUAAAGAGCAAUAGAGGGACCAUGUAAUACUUGACCUUAUUUGAGGAACAUCUAGCCACCAUGUUAGAACUAGUCUGAAGCAUUCAGAAGGACCGGUACAACAUCUACCCGUCAUCAGCUCUACCAGGAUGGGUCCACAUUGAAGGAGAUCUGAACCCCUGGAUCUCUUCACCAAAGAGGAAUAACACCAGGCUUCUCACCAUGGACUUGGAGGAAAACUCUGUCCUAGACCUGGAGUAGAGGGAGUAGUGGCUCUGUCCUAGACCUGGAGUAGAGGGAGUAGUGGCUCCAUCCUAGACCUGGAGUAGAGGGA
This 797-nucleotide long non-coding RNA is filed under the name Salmo salar (Atlantic salmon). RNAcentral's name for it is "lncRNA (ENSSSAG00000101984.1)". The record is from RNAcentral. Lineage: Eukaryota; Metazoa; Chordata; Actinopteri; Salmoniformes; Salmonidae.